RNAcentral lists this ribosomal RNA (492 nucleotides) under uncultured bacterium. Its description in RNAcentral is "partial 16S ribosomal RNA". It matches the Rfam family "Bacterial small subunit ribosomal RNA", at positions 29 to 507 of the family's 1533-position model. The record is from RNAcentral.
AGUGAACGCUGGCGGUAGGCCUAACACAUGCAAGUCGAACGGCAGCACAGUACGUGCUUGCUAUUAGGGGUGGGGAGUGGCGGGAGGGAGAGGACUGAACCGGUCUCUACUUUUUGGUGAGGGCUGACAAAGGGGAAUUUACGCUGAUACCGCACACCAUCUGCGGGUGGGAGACCGGGAUCUUUCGCCCUAGAGCGAUUGCAUGGGCCGAUGUCGGUUUAGCUAGUUGGCGGGGUAAAGGCCUACCAAGGGGACGAUCCGUAGCUGGUCUGAGAGGAUGAACAGCCACACUGGGACUGAGACACGGCCCAGACUCCUACGGGAGGCAGCAGUGGGGAAUAUUGGACAAUGGGCGCAAGCCUGAUCCAGCCAUGCCGCGUGGGUGAAGAAGGCCUUCGGGUUGUAAAGCCCUUUUGUGGGGAAAGAAAAGCAUCGCGAUAAUACCCCCCUGUUCUGACGGUACCCAAAGAAUAAGCACCGGCUAACUACGUG